UAAAUAACGAUGCAGGGCCUAUGGCCAUGCAAUUGGAAUGAGUACAAGUUAAAUCCCUUAUCGAGUAACAAUUGGAGGGCAAGUCUGGUGCCAGCAGCCGCGGUAAUUCCAGCUCCAAUAGCGUAUAUUAAAGUUGUUGCAGUUAAAAAGCUCGUAGUCGGAUGUGAUGGGGAAGGGGGCGGUGUGCGCGAGUGCACUGAGCCUGGAGCCAUGAAGGGGGAGGCGCAGCGAUGCGGAGGAACCCGGGUUACUGUGAAGAAAUUAGAGUGUUUAAAGCAGGCGAAUGCUUGAAUAUUGCAGCAUGGAAUGACGAGGACGUGUCCUUGUUGGUUUGGGGGAGAUGAUUGGUUGAUAGGAGCAGUGGGGGCAUUCGUAUUCUUUGGUCAGAGGUGAAAUUCUUAGAUUCAAAGAAGACGCACUGAGGCGUAAGCCUUUGCCAACGAUGUUUCCGUUGAUCAAGAACGAAAGUUAGGGGAUCGAAGACGAUCAGAUACCGUCGUAGUCUUGACUAUAAACGAUGCCGACGCAGGAUCCGGUGGGGCGAGAGCUCAGCGGGGACUGUGGGAGAAAUCAGAGUGUUUGGGUUCUGGGGAGAAUAUGGUCGCAAGGCUGAAAUUUAAAGGAAUUGACGGAAGGGCACCACCAGGAGUGGAGCCUGCGGCUUAAUUUGACUCAACACGGGAAAACUCACCAGGUCCGGACAUACUAAGGAUUGACAGAUUGAGAGCUCUUUCAUGAUUGUGUGGGUGGUGGUGCAUGGCCGUUCUUAGUUGGUGGAGUGAUUUGUCUGGUUAAUUCCGAUAACGAACGAGACCUUGACCUGCUGACUGCGGGAAGUGCUUUGGCAUGGAACGGCACUCAGAGGGACGGGCUGCGGGGAGCAGCCGGAGGUGCGAGGCAAUAACAGGUCUGUGAUGCCCUUUGAUGUUCUGGGCUGCACGCGCGCUACACUGACAGAGGCAGCGAGUGACCUUUGCCGAGAGGCAUGGGGAAGCUUGAAAGUCUGUCGUGCUGGGGAUAGAUCAUUGCAAUUAUUGGUCUUGAACGAGGAAUUCCUAGUAAGCGCGAGUCAUUAGCUUGCGUUGAUUACGUCCCUGCCCUUUGUACACACCGCCCGUCGCUACUACCGAUUGAAUGGCUUAGUGAGGC
RNAcentral lists this ribosomal RNA (1149 nucleotides) under uncultured Rozellomycota. RNAcentral's name for it is "SSU rRNA". It matches the Rfam family "Eukaryotic small subunit ribosomal RNA", at positions 474 to 1707 of the family's 1831-position model. The record is from RNAcentral. Lineage: Eukaryota; Fungi; Rozellomycota.